GACAGCUCUGUUAGCCUAGUGGUUAGAGCGUUCGCCUUGAAUGCUAGAGGUCGCGUGUUUGAACCCUGGCUUAGUCA
Molecule: non-coding RNA, 77 nt
Organism: Potamilus streckersoni
Lineage: Eukaryota; Metazoa; Mollusca; Bivalvia; Unionida; Unionidae
Source: the annotation of a GenBank genome assembly